Molecule: ribosomal RNA, 429 nt
Filed under: Bacteroidota bacterium
Lineage: Bacteria; Pseudomonadati; Bacteroidota
Description: Bacteroidetes bacterium partial 16S ribosomal RNA
Rfam family: Bacterial small subunit ribosomal RNA
Source: RNAcentral
UAGGGAAUCUUCCGCAAUGGACGCAAGUCUGACGGAGCAACGCCGCGUGAGUGAAGAAGGAUUUCGGUUCGUAAAACUCUGUUGUUAGAGAAGAACAGCGCAUAGAGUAACUGUUAUGCGUGUGACGGUAUCUAACCAGAAAGCCACGGCUAACUACGUGCCAGCAGCCGCGGUAAUACGUAGGUGGCAAGCGUUGUCCGGAUUUAUUGGGCGUAAAGCGAGCGCAGGCGGUCAAUUAAGUCUGAUGUGAAAGCCCCCGGCUCAACCGGGGAGGGUCAUUGGAAACUGGUUGACUUGAGUGCAGAAGAGGAGAGUGGAAUUCCAUGUGUAGCGGUGAAAUGCGUAGAUAUAUGGAGGAACACCAGUGGCGAAGGCGACUCUCUGGUCUGUAACUGACGCUGAGGCUCGAUAGCGUGGGUAGCAAACAGG